Molecule: ribosomal RNA, 465 nt
Filed under: uncultured bacterium
Lineage: Bacteria
Description: partial 16S ribosomal RNA
Rfam family: Bacterial small subunit ribosomal RNA
Source: RNAcentral
GACGAACGCUGGCGGCGUGCUUAACACAUGCAAGUCGAACGGAAAGGCCCUGCUUGCAGGCUACUCGAGUGGCGAACGGGUGAGUAACACGUGGGUGAUCUGCCCUGCACUUCGGGAUAAGCCGGGGAAACUGGGUCUAAUACCGGAUAGGAGCCAUUUUUAGUGUGAUGGUUGGAAAGUUUUUUCGGUGUAUGAUGAGCUCGCGGCCUAUCAGCUUGUUGGUGGGGUAAUGGCCUACCAAGGCGGCUACGGGUAGCCGGACUGAGAGGGUGGACGGCCACAUUGGGACUGAGAUACGGCCCAGACUCCUACGGGAGGGAGAAGUGGGGAAUAUUGCACAAUGGGCGCAAGCCUGAUGCAGAGACGCCGCGUGGGGGAUGACGGCCUUCGGGUUGUAAACUCAUUUCGCUAGGGACGAAGCUUUUUGUGACGGUACCUAGAGAAGAAGCACCGGCUAACUACGUG